AUGUUCAGCGCUGCUACUGCUAUUUCUCUAGGCGACGAGGAUUCUGGGAGGUUCUGGACGGACAAUUGGCUGCUGAAUGGUUGUUCGAUUGCUACCUCAGCGCCAGAGUUCUUCUCCUUCGUCAAGGACUCUGGCCGUUCUGUCCGUGAGGCCUUGCAUAAUCAAUCCUGGAUAAGAGAAAUCGAAGGCGGCAUAUCUGUGCAGGCGCUCGCCCAGUACCUGUCCGUCUGGGAUAUGGUGCAGGCCACCAUUCUUACGCCAGGUGCAUGGGAUCAGGCAAUCUGGAAGCUUACUAAGGAACUGCUCUUCAUGGCUAAUGUGCGUUUUGCAUGCAACAAACCAAUCUGGAGGUCAAAGGCUCCCCCACGGUGCAAGUUCUUCAUGUGGCUGGCCGUUCAUGGCAAAUGCCUAACAGCAGAUAACCUUCUUCGCCGCGGAUGGCCUGCUAAUGCAUCCUGCCCCCUCUGUCUGUCGGAACCCGAGGCCUGUACGCAUUUGUUUGAGCAUUGCCGAUAUACGCAGUAG
This 525-nucleotide ribosomal RNA is filed under the name Triticum aestivum (bread wheat). Its description in RNAcentral is "partial small subunit ribosomal RNA". The record is from RNAcentral. Lineage: Eukaryota; Viridiplantae; Streptophyta; Magnoliopsida; Poales; Poaceae.